This 497-nucleotide ribosomal RNA is filed under the name uncultured bacterium. Its description in RNAcentral is "partial 16S ribosomal RNA". It matches the Rfam family "Bacterial small subunit ribosomal RNA", at positions 28 to 507 of the family's 1533-position model. The record is from RNAcentral.
GAUGAACGCUGGCGGCGUGCCUAAUACAUGCAAGUCGAGCGAACAGACGAGGAGCUUGCUCCUCUGACGUUAGCGGCGGACGGGUGAGUAACACGUGGAUAACCUACCUAUAAGACUGGGAUAACUUCGGGAAACCGGAGCUAAUACCGGAUAAUAUAUUGAACCGCAUGGUUCCAUAGUGAAUGACGGUUUUUCUGUCACUUAUAGAUUGAUCCGCGCCGCAUUAGCUAGUUGGUAAGGUAACGGCUUACCAAGGCAACGAUGCGUAGCCGACCUGAUAGGGUGAACGGCCAAACUGGAACUGAGACACGGUCCAGACGCCUACGGGAGGCAGCAGAAGGGAAUAUUCCGCAAUGGGCGAAAGCAUGACGGAGCAACGCCGCGUGAGUGAUGAAGGUCUUCGGAUCGUAAAACUCUGUUAUUAGGGAAGAAAAAAUGUGUAAGUAACUAUGCACGUCUUGACGGUAACUAAUAAGAAAGCCACGGCUAACUACGUG